This 443-nucleotide ribosomal RNA is filed under the name uncultured bacterium. RNAcentral describes it as "partial 16S ribosomal RNA". It matches the Rfam family "Bacterial small subunit ribosomal RNA", at positions 338 to 795 of the family's 1533-position model. The record is from RNAcentral.
CCUACGGGUGGCAGCAGUGGGGAAUAUUGGGCAAUGGGCGCAAGCCUGACCCAGCAACGCCGCGUGAAGGAAGAAGGCUUUCGGGUUGUAAACUUCUUUUCUCAGGGACGAUGAAAGUGACGGUACCUGAGGAAUAAGCCACUGCUAACUACGUGCCAGCCGCGGCGGUAAUACGUAGGUGGCAAGUGUUAUACGGAUUUAUUGGGUGUAAAGGGCGUGUAGGCGGGAGCGCAAGUCAGAUGUGAAAACUCAGGGCGCAACCAUGAUCCUGUAUUUGAAACUGUGUUUCUUGAGUGCUGGAGAGGCAAUCGGAAUGCCGGGUGUAGGGGUGAAAUGCGUAGAUAUAAGGAGGAACACUAGUGGCGAAGGCGAAUUGCUGGAACGUAACUGACGCUGAGGCGCGAAAGCGUGGGGAGCAAACAGGAUUAGAUACCCCUGUAGUC